This is a long non-coding RNA of Equus caballus (horse), 1683 nucleotides long. RefSeq lists it as uncharacterized. NCBI's taxonomy places the organism in Eukaryota, Metazoa, Chordata, Mammalia, Perissodactyla, Equidae. The record is from RefSeq and is a predicted model, not a curated record.
CUCAGGUGCCAAUCUUUAAGGAAAAAAAAAGAAUAUUCUUCCCCUGGAUCUCCAAUGUGUCUGCUUCCUUCUCACCAGUCAAAUCUUCCCCCUAGUAGUUAAUAUGCCUAAAAUUAUUAUCUUAUUAAAAUUAGACCUGUGUAUCUGUUUGUUUACACCUCUAUUGUCUGUCUUCCCCCAGUGGAAUGUGGGUUCCUUGCAGGCUGGGCCUCUACGUGCUUUGUUCCAGGUGUCACACUGCGUGGCACGUGAUGGGCAGUAGAUAAAUAUUUGGUGACUGGCGGCUGUGUAGGAAUUGAGAUGGCAGAUGGUUUGGCUGAAGUAGGAACGUGGUUUGAAAGUAGCAGUGGAACGGUAGAAUUUUUGCAAGAACCUAUUCAGAUAUCACUUGUGUGCUUAAAAACGAGUAAGUGAACAGGAGCGGCAAUGGGAAGCUAGGAAAUAUCGCAGCCAAAAUAUGGUGAAUCACACAAUUUUAGAAUUGGAAAGAAGCUUAAAGAGCAUCGAAUCACAGUGGUCUCAGUAGACAGAUUAGGAAAUGGAGUCUUCUCCAGAAAGGUGACUGGCGUGGCCCAGUCCCACUGGCGGUUAGUGACCCAGCCCGAGCACACCUUCUAUUGCCUUCCCCUGAUUUUGAACUUUUUUGGAAACUCAUUAGUUGUCUUAGAAAUUAGUUGGGACAUUCCAGAUCUCUCUCUACGCUUUCUGAAGAUUACAAUGAUCUCUUGCUGGGAAAUAAUGCGUGGAGUUUGCCCUCCCCUUGGCUCAUGCCCCCCAACGUUGGAAGAGUGUGAGUGACGGAGUGCUUAGCUGUGCCUCGCAUUGCAAAGCUUCUCUCCGUCUGAAACAAUGGGGUCUAAGUGCCUCUCUGGGCUCCAGGUAAUUAUUUCCCUGUGAAGGCUCAGGUUCGGAGUGUCAGAACUGUAUGAGGCGAGGAGACACUGCAUCAGACUUAUGAUUCCUUACCUUUUUUUGGGGUAAAUCUUACAGAAAGCAGUGGUCUAUUUGUUUUGUAAAGGAUCUAGCCCCGAUCUGGAAUAGAGAGAGAGAAUGCCCCAACUGGCACUCAGCAAACAGGACGGGUGUGCUCCCCAGCCGUGUGGCUGUCCUGUCCUGCUCUCACUCAGCAGCAGGCGAUUGUUCAGGGCUUCUUGGCCUCAGACCCAAGGGCAGAGCUGCCAGACAGAGGCGUUUUUCCCAGAAGCCCUUGGAAGGAGCACAAUCCAAACUUGUUUCUAGAAUAGUGAGGCGGCGAAACCCUCCCUGGCUGCCCAUCUCCCAGCUCACGGCUGAAGUGACCUCAGUGGAUUCAUGGAGGAGCCUCCAGCAAGAAUAGAAGCUUCUUGGGCUCAGGAGCCUCAGCCUGAUGCGCUGCUCUGACCACUGCCUCUGGAACGUCAGGUGCUUAGUGAAUAUUUGCUGCAUGAAGACGGGUCUGCUGUGAAGAAUGAGCUUGGGGGAAGGAGUAGAAAAGGAAAGGAGCAUGAGGAGGACUGGGACAUCACCUGAAGGAGAGCACGCUGGGCGGUGAGCGAAAGAAAAUUAACAGGUUGCUGAACGGCGCAGGAGCGCUGAAGGCCCCUGGACUUGGCCCUCAACUUGGCAGUGACAUCCAUCUACUUUGCUCUGUGAUUUUUUUCUCCCACAGGGUUCAAAAGUCCUGGGAUAAGAGUGAAAAACACA